AGCGAACGCUGGCGGCAGGCUUAACACAUGCAAGUCGAGCGGGCGUAGCAAUACGUCAGCGGCAGACGGGUGAGUAACGCGUGGGAACGUACCUUUUGGUUCGGAACAACCCAGGGAAACUUGGGCUAAUACCGGAUAAGCCCUUACGGGGAAAGAUUUAUCGCCGAAAGAUCGGCCCGCGUCUGAUUAGCUAGUUGGUGAGGUAACGGCUCACCAAGGCGACGAUCAGUAGCUGGUCUGAGAGGAUGAUCAGCCACAUUGGGACUGAGACACGGCCCAAACUCCUACGGGAGGCAGCAGUGGGGAAUAUUGGACAAUGGGCGCAAGCCUGAUCCAGCCAUGCCGCGUGAGUGAUGAAGGCCCUAGGGUUGUAAAGCUCUUUGUGCGGGAAGAUAAUGACGGUACGCAAGAAUAA
RNAcentral lists this ribosomal RNA (415 nucleotides) under uncultured bacterium. Its description in RNAcentral is "bacterial SSU rRNA". It matches the Rfam family "Bacterial small subunit ribosomal RNA", at positions 29 to 489 of the family's 1533-position model. The record is from RNAcentral.